This is a non-coding RNA of Momordica charantia (bitter melon), 495 nucleotides long. Lineage: Eukaryota; Viridiplantae; Streptophyta; Magnoliopsida; Cucurbitales; Cucurbitaceae. The record is from RefSeq and is a predicted model, not a curated record.
GGUGACUUGGUAGGCAUAAUCAGUACACCACAUUUUACGCACAAACAUUAUUGGGGUUGCGGUGAAUGACUCCAUUGCUGAUUCUGGUGCCUUCACCGUUGCAUUCAAAGCAUUGAAGAAAGGGUAGGGUGCAGUGCAGCUCCUAUGAAAUCUGGUCAAUGUGAAAGGGUAUUUCGUUUGGAUAAUUGGGAGUGGGCGGCUGGUUUCAGUUCAAGGUUUGGCCUUUACGAUGUCAUCAUUUCAGGGGUAAGCUGAACAGAUACUCCAAGGACUCGGUAACCAUUUGCUGACGGGGAACCUCUUCGGCCGCAUAAUCGCAUUCUGGUAUUUACACUGUACAUUGCAAGGGCAUCUUAACACUAUAUUGUCAGAAGAACAUCAAAAGAAUGGAAAUCUUUUGCUAUGCAUUUUGUCAUCAGGUUGCUCGUGCUAUAUUAGAAAACUCGAAGGACGAGAUUAAGGUUCACCUUAUUUAUGCUAACAUCGCAUACGAAG